This 600-nucleotide long non-coding RNA is filed under the name Mytilus galloprovincialis (Mediterranean mussel). Lineage: Eukaryota; Metazoa; Mollusca; Bivalvia; Mytilida; Mytilidae. The record is from RNAcentral.
AAAUUGCUAUUAACAAAAUGGAGUACUAUCAAAGAUGCACAAGAACACAAUUGUGUAAAAUGUAACAACCUACAUAUUCACUGAUGGAUUAUGGAGAAAUUAAGAAAAAAAUAGUAUCUUUGUCAUGUUUGUUGUCGAAAUAAACAACUGCUUUAUCCAUUCAUGUACAUGGCUCCAUCAUAUCAAAUAUACAGAGAAGAUGUUUGAAGAACAAGUUGCCAAAAUUUAUUCAACCAAUUGAAGGAAGAUGUCUUGUGGAUGGAAUUAUUUAUGCACUGAACUGUUAUGUAGGGGGUCGAAUAAUUGUACACAGCAGCUGAAACAGAAGACAAGUUAAUUUAACAUGAAAAGUGUUUAUUUUAUUUAAUAUGCAAAUAUGAGCACAAUAUUAAUAACAUCACAAAUGGUAUGAUAUUCAUAGCGUUUUGCUUAUUAUUGUAUUGUCUUAAACAUGCUAAACAGUCAGCCUUUUGUUUUUGUAUGUUUAAUACUCACCAUGAAAAUUUGUAUUAAAGUUUUAAUUAUCUUUUGUAUCAAUAAUUCAGUCUAGGAAAAAUUAUAUUUAUACUGUCAUGAAAUUUCCAUAGAGGAAAAAUAGGG